This 665-nucleotide ribosomal RNA is filed under the name uncultured bacterium. Its description in RNAcentral is "bacterial SSU rRNA". It matches the Rfam family "Bacterial small subunit ribosomal RNA", at positions 12 to 673 of the family's 1533-position model. The record is from RNAcentral.
UUUGAUCCUGGCUCAGGACGAACGCUGGCGGCAGGCUUAACACAUGCAAGUCGAGCGGAGAUGAGGUGCUUGCACCUUAUCUUAGCGGCGGACGGGUGAGUAGUGCUUAGGAAUCUGCCUAUUAGUGGGGGACAACAUUCCGAAAGGAAUGCUAAUACCGCAUACGUCCUACGGGAGAAAGCAGGGGAUCUUCGGACCUUGCGCUAAUAGAUGAGCCUAAGCCGGAUUAGCUAGUUGGUGGGGUAAAGGCCUACCAAGGCGACGAUCUGUAGCGGGUCUGAGAGGAUGAUCCGCCACACUGGGACUGAGACACGGCCCAGACUCCUACGGGAGGCAGCAGUGGGGAAUAUUGGACAAUGGGGGGAACCCUGAUCCAGCCAUGCCGCGUGUGUGAAGAAGGCCUUAUGGUUGUAAAGCACUUUAAGCGAGGAGGAGGCUACUGAGACUAAUACUCUUGGAUAGUGGACGUCACUCGCAGGAUAAGCACCGGCUAACUCUGUGCCAGCAGCCGCGGUAAUACAGAGGGUGCGAGCGUUUAUCGGAUUUACUGGGCGUAAAGCGUGCGUAGGCGGCCUUUCUAGUCCGAUGUGAAAUCCCCGAGCUAACUGGGGAAUUGCCUCCGAUACGGGGCAGCUAAGUAUUGGGAAGGAUCGUAUAAUUCCAGG